Non-coding RNA from Gymnodraco acuticeps, 348 nucleotides. The record is from the annotation of a RefSeq genome assembly. NCBI's taxonomy places the organism in Eukaryota, Metazoa, Chordata, Actinopteri, Perciformes, Bathydraconidae.
AUGACCUGGGUCAGCUGUGAAGAUCUCACUGCAUUACAGAGAGAAGAGUUCAGUCCAGAAGGCAGCUCUGUUACUCUGUCCUACAGAUACUCCAAACAAGCAGCUGGUGGUGAUCAGUUUUACUGGUAUCGACAAUAUCCAGGAAAACCACCAGAGUUCAUCAUCUCUCAUUUAGGAACUGGAAACAUUAUGAAUAAUCUGAUCCCUGGACUGAAGAUUAAAGUGCAGUCAAACCAAAUCAAUCUGAGCCUCUCCUCUGCUGCAGUGACAGACUCUGCUGUGUUCUACUGUGCUGUGAGGCCCACAGUGACAGGAAACACCAACACUCUGUACAAAAACACCAGCUGA